Molecule: ribosomal RNA, 447 nt
Filed under: uncultured bacterium
Lineage: Bacteria
Description: bacterial SSU rRNA
Rfam family: Bacterial small subunit ribosomal RNA
Source: RNAcentral
ACUCCUACGGGAGGCAGCAGUGGGGAAUAUUGCACAAAUGGGCGCAAAGCCUGAUGCAGCCAUGCCCGCGUGUGUGAAAGAAAGGCCCUUCGGGUUGUAAAGCACUUUCAGUCGUGAGGAAGGUAGUGUAGUUAAUAGCUGCAUUAUUUGACGUUAGCGACAGAAGAAGCACCGGCUAACUCCGUGCCAGCAGCCGCGGUAAUACGGAGGGUGCGAGCGUUAAUCGGAAUUACUGGGCGUAAAGCGCAUGCAGGCGGCCUGUUAAGUCAGAUGUGAAAGCCCGGGGCUUAACCUCGGAAUUGCAUUUGAAACUGGCAGGCUAGAGUCUUGUAGAGGGGGGUAGAAUUUCAGGUGUAGCGGUGAAAGUGCGUAGAGAUCUGAAGGAAUACCAGUGGCGAAGGCGGCCCCCUGGACAAGACUGACGCUCAGAUGCGAAGCGUGGGGAGC